UUCCGGUUGAUCCCGCCGGAUCCGACUGCUAUCCGGGUAAGACUAAGCAUGCCAGUUGAAUGGAAUCGCAGAUUCCAUGGCAUACUGCUCAGUAACAAGUGAUCAACUUACCCUGCAGAGGGGUAUAACCUCGGGAAACUGAGGCUAAUUCCCCAUAGUUGGAGCGGCCUGGAAUGGUGCUCCAUCGAAAGAUACAGCGUUAUGUCGCUGAUUCGCUGCAGGAUAGGAUCGCUCUCGAUUACGGUAGUUGGUGAGGUAAUGGCUCACCAAGCCUAUGAUCGAUAAGGGCCGUGAGAGCGGGAGCCCUGAGAUGGAUACUGAGACAAUGAUCCAGGCCUUACGAGGCGCAGCAGGCGCGAAACCUUUACAAUGCACGCAAGUGCGAUAAGGUUACCCGGAGUGCCGAGAGAAAAACUUUCGGCUGUUAUAGGUGUGUAAACUACCCUAUGAGAAAGGAGAGGGCAAGGCUGGUGCCAGCCGCCGCGGUAAAACCAGCUCUUCAAGUGGUCGGGACUUUUAUUGGGCUUAAAGUGUCCGUAGCCGGUUAGAUAAGUUCCUGGUUAAAUCUGGCAGCUUAACUGUCAGUUCGCUAGGAAUACUAUCUUACUAGAGGGUGGGAGAGGUUUGAGGUACUCCAGGGGUAGCGGUGAAAUGCGAUAAUCCUUGGGGGACCACCAGUGGCGAAGGCGUCAGACUGGAACACGCCUGACGGUGAGGGACGAAAGCCAGGGGAGCGAACGGGAUUAGAUACCCCGGUAGUCCUGGCCGUAAACGAUGCGUGCUAGGUGUUGGUAGGGCUUGGAGCUGUAUCAGUGCCAAAGGGAAACUGUUAAGCGCGCCGCCUGGGAAGUACGCUCGCAAGAGUGAAACUUAAAGGAAUUGGCGGGGGAGCACCACAAGGGGUGAAGCCUGCGGUUCAAUUGGAUUCAACGCCGGA
Molecule: ribosomal RNA, 937 nt
Filed under: uncultured crenarchaeote
Lineage: Archaea; Thermoproteati; Thermoproteota
Description: bacterial SSU rRNA
Rfam family: Archaeal small subunit ribosomal RNA
Source: RNAcentral